AUACGGAGGGUCCAAGCGUUAUCCGGAUUCAUUGGGUUUAAAGGGUCCGCAGGCGGGAAAGUAAGUCAGUGGUGAAAGCCUACAGCUCAACUGUAGAACUGCCAUUGAUACUGUUUUUCUUGAGUAUAGAUGAAGUGGGCGGAAUAUAUCAUGUAGCGGUGAAAUGCAUAGAUAUGAUAUAGAACACCGAUUGCGAAGGCAGCUCACUAAACUAUUACUGACGCUCAGGGACGAAAGCGUGGGGAGCGAACAGGAUUAGAAACCCUAGUAGUCC
This 274-nucleotide ribosomal RNA is filed under the name uncultured bacterium. Its description in RNAcentral is "partial 16S ribosomal RNA". It matches the Rfam family "Bacterial small subunit ribosomal RNA", at positions 523 to 796 of the family's 1533-position model. The record is from RNAcentral.